AAUCAACUAUAAGCUUUAACAUCCAAUCAGCAACAGGGGGAUUCAAAAAUUACCCAAUCAGGAUCAUGCAAGCAGGGAGGUCGAGGCCGGAUUACAGGAGGCUGCAGAGCACAAGUGCAGCCCCAUAGCCACGGUGGCACGUGGGCCGGGAGCAUUCCAGCACUCGGGGCGAGGCUCUACCGCGGUGCGGCCCACCAGCGCGCCCCCACCCGGCCACUCGCAGCGCUGGCCGCUGGCCGGCAGAGAUGCGGAGCCCCGGGGAGGCAGCAAGUGGCAGAUUCGCAGCCCCCACAUUUUCCGUGUCAAAACGAUGUGUCAUCUUGGUCCAGACUACCCCAGCAGCUCUAGUGAGGUCGACCAUCUCAAGAGCCGGGAUCGGUGGUUCACUUCCUAGUCCAGCAAGAAUGGUUGGCAAGCCUCGGCCGUUAGGUGGGAGAAACCCUGCCCUGGAACACUGAGAUCUCGUGCACAAAGGAAACACCAAGGUCGGCUGACAGCUUGGGAACCGAGAUAGCAACAGAACCACCAACGUGACCCCAGGAAAGAGGAGGAAAAGCCAUUUAUUGUGCACAGCUGUGUUGUAACAGCACGUCAGAACUCUAACACCUGGCACACCCCGCCCCGCCUUUAGAGAAACACUAUGUGCCAUCACAGUCACCAGCUUUGGAGGACCAAGUGCAGUGACCACCCCCAGCUGCUGUGUGUAGUCCUAGAUCCUUCAGAACCUCAGUGGAAGCAACAGGAGCCCGCUUGCCACUGCCAGAGCAAACUGCCAAGGACGCCUGCAGAAAUGUUCAGGCCCAUUAAAAACCAGUAACAAGAAAUGGAUUUUUCACCUGGUUUCCUAUGCAAAAAAAAAAAAAAAAAUAUAUAUAUAUAUAUAUAAAUAAGGGGGAAAAAAGAGUGUAGA
Molecule: non-coding RNA, 910 nt
Organism: Microcebus murinus (gray mouse lemur)
Lineage: Eukaryota; Metazoa; Chordata; Mammalia; Primates; Cheirogaleidae
Source: RefSeq, a predicted model, not a curated record